This 4987-nucleotide long non-coding RNA is filed under the name Volvox carteri. RNAcentral describes it as "long non-coding RNA (VCAR_LNC003612)". Lineage: Eukaryota; Viridiplantae; Chlorophyta; Chlorophyceae; Chlamydomonadales; Volvocaceae. The record is from RNAcentral.
UCAAUGGGUUGAGUGCACGUGCACACAGUAAUAGUUCUGUCCGUUGGAGUCGGAGGGCAUCGAUCCCCCUACCUCCCGCAUAUCAUCUGCAGCGCUCAGCAUCGCAUGCUAAGCGGGCGCUCUACCAUUUGAGCUACGACCCCUGCACAUCCUCACCACUCUGCGCUCGAUGACGGGAUCGAACCGUCAACCUUACGGUUAACAGCCGUGCGCUCUACCGACUGAGCUAACCGAGCAGGUCUGGCAGAUGGAUGUACGACAGCACCAAGCAUACGCCACAUGCCGUACUGUACGACUGCUACGGCUGAACCUGUGCACCGUGCCGUACGACAAAAGAACAGAAAAAAUGCGAUGCGAUUAGGUUGAUACAACCUACUGCAUACCAAGGUGCAGGUAAUGCGUCAGCAACCAGCUGCAAACAGGGCUCUAUCGAUGUAUUGUUCGGGUCCGUGCCGUCAGUGCACACCAGCAUAACACAUAAGAAAUGGGGACCUGCAAUUCAUUCAUGCAAAAAAUGUAAUAAUGUAGCUGGCCGCUCGUCGCUGGCCGCCGAUUGGAAUGCUGGAAUAAAAAAAUACCCUGUGUUCGUGCAUGUAUGCCUUGAGGGGGUAGUAGCCGGCCCAGGCCAAAAAGGCCUCUCGAGAUGCGAGGAACAUGUGCUCCAGUGCGUAUUCAUGUAUGUUUUCGCGGGAAGCCUUCGUUGCAAAAAGGAAACAUAUGUAGCUGGCAAGCAAUGAAAACAGGGCCGGGUGUGGGUGCACUCCCCCGAAGCGACAACUAGGGCCUGCAGACCAACUACUUCAGGGCGGUAGUACACAAACACCCGAAGUAACCAGCACAACCACGCACACAAGUCCAUGCAAAUCGUACAGCGGCACUCCCAAUUCACAGGAAACUUUAGUUUUCUCGACGCUUCGCUUACAAAGCUAUGAGAUUGUGUGAAGAAGGGGGCAAUAGCUUCAUCCGUGGCCACCACUAGCCUGGCAGUGUUUACCUUCCCGGGUGUGUUUGGGUGCACCCUCAUGCUCAUGCUUCUGACCCAUACCGACUUCUGAAACGUCAGUGGCAUUUUCGGGUCCAGCACGCACCAUCAGCACAUCCCGUGGAAUCUGUGCCUGGAAUCAACGGCGGCAGCAGCAAGUUUCCACUCCGGGUCGGCUUUUGCAGGUGUGUCACUACACCAGUGGUUCCAUCAUCUCGGCCAUCAGCAAUGGAAUCGAUUGGCAUCCAUCCAGCCUCUUCUGUUCAAGAAUCUGUCCCGGGAUCACUUCCAAAACAGCCUUCCCGGGACAGCACACUCUGUACCUUCCUUCCUUAUCACCUUCCCCAGCAUAAAGCCUGUCGUGUUUCAAUGGGUUGAGUGCACGUGCACACAGUAAUAGUUCUGUCCGUUGGAGUCGGAGGGCAUCGAUCCCCCUACCUCCCGCACAUCAUCUGCGGCGCUCAGCAUCGCAUGCUAAGCGGGCGCUCUACCAUUUGAGCUACGACCCCUGCACAUCCUUACCGCUCUGCGCUCGAUGACGGGAUCGAACCGUCGACCUUACGGUUAACAGCCGUGCGCUCUACCGACUGAGCUAACCGAGCAGGUCUGGCAGAUGAUGUACGGCAGCACCAAGCAUACGCCACAUGACCCGUAUUGUACGACUGCUACGGCUGAACCUGUGCCCCUUGCCGUACGACAAAAGAACAGAAAAAAUGCGAUGCGAUUAGGUUGAUACAACCUACUGCAUACCAAGGUGCAGGUAAUGCGUCAGCAACCAGCUGCAAACAGGGCUCUAUCGAUGUAUUGGUCGGGUCCGUGCCGUCAGUGCACACCAGCAUAACACAUAAGAAAUGGGGACCUGCAAUUCAUUCAUGCAAAAAAGGAAUAAUGUAGCUGGGCGCUCGCCCCUGGCCCCCCAUUGGAAUGCUGAAAUAAAAAAAACCCUGGGUCCGUGCAUGUAUGCCUUGAGGGGGUAGUAGCCGGCCCAGGCCAAAAAGGCCUCUCGAGAUGCGAGGAACAUGUGCUCCAGUGCGUAUUCAUGUAUGUUUUCGCGGGAAGCCUUCGUUGCAAAAAGGAAACAUAUGUAGCUGGCAAGCAAUGAAAACAGGGCCGGGUGUGGGUGCACUCCCCCGAAGCGACAACUAGGGCCUGCAGACCAACUACUUCAGGGCGGUAGUACACAAACACCCGAAGUAACCAGCACAACCACGCACGCAAGUCCAUGCAAAUCGUACAGCGGCACUCCCAAUUCACAGGAAACUUUAGUUUUCUCGACGCUUCGCUUACAAAGCUAUGAGAUUGUGUGAAGAAGGGGGCAAUAGCUUCAUCCGUGGCCACCACUAGCCUGGCAGUGUUUACCUUCCCGGGUGUGUUUGGGUGCACCCUCAUGCUCAUGCUUCUGACCCAUGCCGACUUCUGAAACGUCAGCGGCAUUUUCGGGUCCAGCACGCACCAUCAGCACAUCCCGUGGAAUCUGUGCCUGGAAUCAACGGCGGCAGCAGCAAGUUUCCACUCCGGGUCGGCUUUUGCAGGUGUGUCACUACACCAGUGGUUCCAUCAUCUCGGCCAUCAGCAAUGGAAUCGAUUGGCAUCCAUCCAGCCUCUUCUGUUCAAGAAUCUGUCCCGGGAUCACUUCCAAAACAGCCUUCCCGGGACAGCACACUCUGUACCUUCCUUCCUUAUCACCUUCCCCAGCAUAAACCCUGUCGUGUUUCAAUGGGUUGAGUGCACGUGCACACAGUAAUAGUUCUGUCCGUUGGAGUCGGAGGGCAUCGAUCCCCCUACCUCCCGCAUAUCAUCUGCGGCGCUCAGCAUCGCAUGCUAAGCGGGCGCUCUACCAUUUGAGCUACGACCCCUGUACAUCCUCACCACUCUGCGCUCGAUGACGGGAUCGAACCGUCGACCUUACGGUUAACAGCCGUGCGCUCUACCGACUGAGCUAACCGAGCAGGUCUGGCAGAUGGAUGUACGGCAGCACCAAGCAUACGCCACAUGCCGUACUGUACGAGUGCUACGGCUGAACCUGUGCACCGUGCCGUACGACAAAAGAACAGAAAAAAUGCGAUGCGAUUAGGUUGAUACAACCUACUGCAUACCAAGGUGCAGGUAAUGCGUCAGCAACCAGCUGCAAACAGGGCUCUAUCGAUGUAUUGUUCGGGUCCGUGCCGUCAGUGCACACCAGCAUAACACAUAAGAAAUGGGGACCUGCAAUUCAUUCAUGCAAAAAAUGUAAUAAUGUAGCUGGCCGCUCGUCGCUGGCCGCCGAUUGGAAUGCUGGAAUAAAAAAAUACCCUGUGUUCGUGCAUGUAUGCCUUGAGGGGGUAGUAGCCGGCCCAGGCCAAAAAGGCCUCUCGAGAUGCGAGGAACAUGUGCUCCAGUGCGUAUUCAUGUAUGUUUUCGCGGGAAGCCUUCGUUGCAAAAAGGAAACAUAUGUAGCUGGCAAGCAAUGAAAACAGGGCCGGGUGUGGGUGCACUCCCCCGAAGCGACAACUAGGGCCUGCAGACCAACUACUUCAGGGCGGUAGUACACAAACACCCGAAGUAACCAGCACAACCACGCACGCAAGUCCAUGCAAAUCGUCCGUUGGAGUCGGAGGGCAUCGGUCCCCCUAUUCAUGCAAAAAAUGUAAUAAUGUAGCUGGCCGCUCGUCGCUGGCCGCCGAUUGGAAUGCUGGAAUAAAAAAAUACCCUGUGUUCGUGCAUGUAUGCCUUGAGGGGGUUAGUAGCCGGCCCAGGCCAAAAAGGCCUCUCGAGAUGCGAGGAACAUGUGCUCCAGUGCGUAUUUAUGUAUGUUUUCGCGGGAAGCCUUCGUUGCAAAAAGGAAACAUAUGUAGCUGGCAAGCAAUGAAAACAGGGCCGGGUGUGGGUGCACUCCCCCGAAGCGACAACUAGGGCCUGCAGACCAACUACUUCAGGGCGGUAGUACACAAACACCCGAAGUAACCAGCACAACCACGCACGCAAGUCCAUGCAAAUCGUACAGCGGCACUCCCAAUUCACAGGAAACUUUAGUUUUCUCGACGCUUCGCUUACAAAGCUAUGAGAUUGUGUGAAGAAGGGGGCAAUAGCUUCAUCCGUGGCCACCACUAGCCUGGCAGUGUUUACCUUCCCGGGUGUGUUUGGGUGCACCCUCAUGCUCAUGCUUCUGACCCAUGCCGACUUCUGAAACGUCAGCGGCAUUUUCGGGUCCAGCACGCACCAUCAGCACAUCCCGUGGAAUCUGUGCCUGGAAUCAACGGCGGCAGCAGCAAGUUUCCACUCCGGUCGGCUUUUGCAGGUGUGUCACUACACCAGUGGUUCCAUCAUCUCGGCCAUCAGCAAUGGAAUCGAUUGCCAUCCAUCCAGCCUCUUCUGUUCAAGACUCUGUCCCGGGAUCACUUCCAAAACAGCCUUCCCGGGACAGCACACUCUGUACCUUCCUCCGUAUCACCUUCCCCAGCAUAAAGCCUGUCGUGUUUCAAUGGNUUGAGUGCACGUGCACACAGUAAUAGUUCUGUCCGUUGGAGUCGGAGGGCAUCGAUCCCCCUACCUCCCGCACAUCAUCUGCGGCGCUCAGCAUCGCAUGCUAAGCGGGCGCUCUACCAUUUGAGCUACGACCCCUGCACAUCCUCACCACUCUGCGCUCGAUGACGGGAUCGAACCGUCGACCUUACGGUUAACAGCCGUGCGCUCUACCGACUGAGCUAACCGAGCAGGUCUGGCAGAUGGAUGUACGGCAGCAGCAAGCAUACGCGUUGCACGCCACAUGCCGUACUGUACGAGUGCUACGGCUGAAGCUGUGCACCGUGCCGUACGACAAAAGAACAGAAAAAAUGCGAUGCGAUUAGGUUGAUACAACCUACUGCAUACCAAGGCGCAGGUAAUGCGUCAGCAACCAGCUGCAAACAGGGCUCUAUCGAUGUAUUGGUCGGGUCCGUGCCGUCAGUGCACACCAGCAUAACACAUAAGAAAUGGGGACCUGCAAUUCAUUCAUGCAAAAAAUGUAAUAAUGUAGCUGGCCGCUCG